RNAcentral lists this ribosomal RNA (477 nucleotides) under uncultured organism. RNAcentral's name for it is "partial 16S ribosomal RNA". It matches the Rfam family "Bacterial small subunit ribosomal RNA", at positions 333 to 801 of the family's 1533-position model. The record is from RNAcentral.
ACACUCCUACGGGAGGCAGCAGUGGGGAAUUUUGGACAAUGGGCGAAAGCCUGAUCCAGCAAUGCCGCGUGAGUGAAGAAGGCCUUCGGGUUGUAAAGCUCUUUUGUCAGGGAAGAAACGGUGAAAGCUAAUAUCUUUUGCUAAUGACGGUACCUGAAGAAUAAGCACCGGCUAACUACGUGCCAGCAGCCGCGGUAAUACGUAGGGUGCAAGCGUUAAUCGGAAUUACUGGGCGUAAAGCGUGCGCAGGCGGUUUUGUAAGUCUGAUGUGAAAUCCCCGGGCUCAACCUGGGAAUUGCAUUGGAGACUGCAAGGCUAGAAUCUGGCAGAGGGGGGUAGAAUUCCACGUGUAGCAGUGAAAUGCGUAGAUAUGUGGAGGAACACCGAUGGCGAAGGCAGCCACCUGGGUCAAGAUUGACGCUCAUGCACGAAAGCGUGGGGAGCAAACAGGAUUAGAUACCCCGGUAGUCCCAUGAU